This 253-nucleotide ribosomal RNA is filed under the name uncultured prokaryote. RNAcentral describes it as "partial 16S ribosomal RNA". It matches the Rfam family "Bacterial small subunit ribosomal RNA", at positions 525 to 777 of the family's 1533-position model. The record is from RNAcentral.
ACGGAGGGUGCAAGCGUUAUCCGGAUUCACUGGGUUUAAAGGGUGCGUAGGUGGGCAGGUAAGUCAGUGGUGAAAUCUCCGAGCUUAACUCGGAAACUGCCGUUGAUACUAUUUGUCUUGAAUGUUGUGGAGGUAAGCGGAAUAUGUCAUGUAGCGGUGAAAUGCUUAGAUAUGACAUAGAACACCAAUUGCGAAGGCAGCUUACUACGGGUGUAUUGACACUGAGGCACGAAAGCGUGGGGAUCAAACAGGA